This 74-nucleotide transfer RNA is filed under the name Crassvirales sp. RNAcentral describes it as "tRNA-Pro". It matches the Rfam family "tRNA". From Rfam's summary of the family: Transfer RNA (tRNA) molecules are approximately 80 nucleotides in length. Their secondary structure includes four short double-helical elements and three loops (D, anti-codon, and T loops). The record is from RNAcentral. Lineage: Duplodnaviria; Heunggongvirae; Uroviricota; Caudoviricetes; Crassvirales.
AGGGAAGUACAAUAAUUGGUUAAUUGGCUACAUUUGGGAUGUAGAAGAUGAAGGUUCGAGCCCUUUCUUCCCUA